CCAAAGAGGGGAAUAACUGCUGGAAACGGUGGCUAAUACCCCAUGUGCUCGAUGGUUCGGUCCGUCGAGUAAAGCCCUUCGGGACGCUUUGGGAGGGGCCUGCGGCCCAUCAGGUAGUUGGUAGGGUAACGGCCUACCAAGCCGAUGACGGGUAGGGGGCGUGAGAGCGUGAACCCCCACACUGGCACUGAGAUACGGGCCAGACUCCUACGGGAGGCAGCAGUGAGGAAUAUUGCCCAAUGGACGCAAGUCUGAGGCAGCAACGCCGCGUGGGCGAUGAAGGCCUUCGGGUUGUAAAGCCCUUUUCUGGGGGAAGAGGAAGGACGGUACCUCAGGAAUAAGUCACGGCUAACUACGUGCCAGCAGCCGCGGUAAUACGUAGGUGGCAAGCGUUAUCCGGAUUCACUGGGCGUAAAGCGCGUGCAGGCGGUUUCGUAAGUCGGACGUGAAAGCUCCUGGCUUAGCUGGGAGAGGUCGUUCGAUACCGCGGGGCUUGAGGUCGGGAGAGGGACGUGGAAUUCCCGGUGUAGUGGUGGAAUGCGUAGAUAUCGGGAGGAACACCAGUGGCGAAGGCGACGUCCUGGCCCGCACCUGACGCUGAGACGCGAAAGCGUGGGUAGCAAACGGGAUUAGAUACCCCGGUAGUCCACGCUGUAAACGGUGGGUACUAGGUGUUGGUGGCUAUCGUCAUUAGUGCCGUAGCUAACGCGUUAAGUACCCCGCCUGGGGACUACGGCCGCAAGGCUAAAACUCAAAAGAAUUGACGGA
This 768-nucleotide ribosomal RNA is filed under the name uncultured anaerobic bacterium. Its description in RNAcentral is "bacterial SSU rRNA". It matches the Rfam family "Bacterial small subunit ribosomal RNA", at positions 131 to 917 of the family's 1533-position model. The record is from RNAcentral.